GACGUAGGGCGCAAGCGUUGUCCGGAAUUAUUGGGCGUAAAGAGCUCGUAGGCGGCUUGUUGCGUCGACUGUGAAAAACCACGACUCAACCGUGGGACUGCAGUCGAUACGGGCAGGCUAGAGUUCGGUAGGGGAGACUGGAAUUCCUGGUGUAGCGGUGAAAUGCGCAGAUAUCGGGAAGAACACCGGUGGCGAAGGCGGGUCUCUGGGCCGGAACUGACGCUGAGGAGCGAAAAGCGUGGGA
Molecule: ribosomal RNA, 244 nt
Filed under: uncultured bacterium
Lineage: Bacteria
Description: partial 16S ribosomal RNA
Rfam family: Bacterial small subunit ribosomal RNA
Source: RNAcentral